Molecule: ribosomal RNA, 253 nt
Filed under: uncultured bacterium
Lineage: Bacteria
Description: partial 16S ribosomal RNA
Rfam family: Bacterial small subunit ribosomal RNA
Source: RNAcentral
UACGUAGGGUGCGAGCGUUAAUCGGAAUUACUGGGCGUAAAGCGUGCGUAGGUGGUUCGUUGUGUCUGUGGUGAAAGCCCCGGGCUUAACCUGGGAAUGGCCAUGGAAACUGGCGAGCUGGAGUCUGGCAGAGGGGGGUGGAAUUCCGCGUGUAGCAGUGAAAUGCGUAGAGAUGCGGAGGAACACCGAUGGCGAAGGCGGCCAACUGGACAGAUACUGACGCUGAGACACGAAAGCGUGGGGAGCAAACAGG